UGUAACAGGAAGGCAGGCAGCACGGCUGGCUCCCGCAUUGUUGACUUAGCCAGUCUGGCUGCAAAGCCAAGGCCUUUGGAAAGAAAGGCCUCCCAGCUUCCAGCAGUUUCUGUUGAGCUGGUUCCAGGACGGGGCUAGAUCCUGCAAGGUGUCGUUGGGCAGGAGGACGGUUCACCAGGAUUUGUCCUUGCUGAUGGCCUGGGGAGUAAAACAUGGCCACAGUCUCGGAAGGAGAGAUUUCUCUCCACCUUACAGGGUUCUCUGGUCCUCCCCUUUGAGUCAGAGAGGGAAGUUUCCCAGGAGGCACGCUCCCAUCUUCCGACCCUGGCAAGUUACAAAUGGUGCUGCAGUGAUCCACCCCCAUCCACACGUGAGAGAUGCAGAUGUCCUCCAGCUGAAGACCACCGGGGCCACACUUGGCAUGGGAUUGCCGAGCUGUACGGAGGAUGGGGGGGACACCCUCAAUCGAACCCCAGGUGACCAGGCAGCCCAGAACCAAGCCGGAGUGGCCGGGUAGACGAGGGGUGGCUCAGCGCCGCUCCAGAUGCACACUGCAAGAACAAUAAGGAUUUUUAGGGGCAUUAUGACUGAGUCAGAAAACACAGCUGCCCCUGAAAGUCCCUCAUUUUUCUUGCUGUCCUUGAACACUCUCCAGGUGGUAAGUCAUCGGCCAGAGGGCCCAGGUGAGCAGAGGUGGGGAUGAUGGCCCCCACUGACCCUGGCCCACCCCGCAUAGGCCCCAGGAAGCUCUGUGGUGGGGGGGUUCUCCACAGCAGCACCAUUCUCUCCAGUGCUCGGCCUGGACAGCAGCUAACUUCACUGCCUGCCCCCCACCCCCCGCCGCCGAGGCACACCCAGACACGACCAGCCUGUGCUCCACCCAGAGCCAACUGGGAACCCAGGACCUUCUGCCUGCAGAGAGCUGUGGGCUAGAACCCUGGCAGGAUUCCAAGUGGACAGGGCAGCCCCAGGAACGGGGCGGUGCAGGAAGACCCCGGGGGGAGGGCCAGCUGGCCCUUGUCCUCACACGUGGGCCGUGAGCCCAUCUUGCAGACACUGAGCUCCUGGAGAGGCCGGGUGACAGUCGCAGGCCUGACGUGACACAGGAGCAGCAGAGGCCCCCCACCCCCGCCCACAAGCAGCCCGGGGUGCAAAGACGAAUGCAGGCUCUAGCAUGUCCCGACGGUGCUCAGGUUCAAGUCAACGGGCUGACCGCUCUGCUGGAAGAAACUGGGGGUGGGGUGAGGGGAUGGCCAAGAAGUGCGCAACAAGGAAGAAGGAACGGGGCUGGUGGCCGAUGUUUUUCUCUUAUAGGAGGACGAAAGGGGCUCCGGAAUCAGAGCUUGGGUGGUUUAGGGGCCUCCUUUAUGGGAGGGCCCCUGACUAGGAAGGUCCCAGCAGGCCACUCCCACAGACACGGGGCUCGGAAUGCCACCCAGUGCCCUGGCUCAGCUGGAAUCUGCCCUGCUGGCUGCUGGGAGCCUGCCCCACCCAGCCUGGCACUGCACCCACUCCUCGGGAGCCUGGUCACUGGUCCCAUUGGGCGUGCAGGACACAUGGCCUCUCAGAACACCAGGGACCCCACUGUGGUAAAACGUGCAUCCCACGGAAGACAGACGUAGCGCCACCAUCUGCCUACCUGCUGUGUGAUGGUGUCUAAGUUACUUUGCUUCUCUGGGCCUCAGCUGUCACGUCAGUAAACAGGAAUAAGCAACCUCCUUUGCAAGACAACGUGAGGACUGAAGGAAAGCAGCACACAGAGCUUGGCUGGCUUCCAAGAAAAGUGUCUUCCCCUCUCCAAGCAGCUUCUCCCUUGCCCACAGACCCCAAGAGCAGGUGCUGGGUCCCUGGGAGUGGAGAAUUCUUCCCGCUCAGAAGAGCGGCUGGGGCGGGUGUCGUGGCGCAGGCCUCACUACUCCCUGAGCACUAACGCUGCACCUUCUCCCCACACCCCAGGGUCCCGCCUCGUUCAGACUGGGAGCACGUGGACCCAGAAUCCCCGUGGCCCGGCUGCAGCCUCCGCCCUCUCAGAGCUGUGGUAGAGCAGCUGUCACCUCACUGGAACUUUCUGCCCUAACCAAGAUCACGGCCAAAUUCUCUGCCAGCGAAACCCAAGCUGUCCCCACACACUAGAUUCAAGCUACCUGAACCGUGCGACAUGGCGGCAUCCUGCUUCAUCUACUAGGAAGCCCCAGCCCUCGGUCUGCACAGCCUCUGCGUGAGCUGGUCUUGUUGCCCGUGGCGCCCUGGCCCCAGUGUGGUGAAAUGGAGCAGGAGGUUGAGAACCAGCUCACUGCUUAUGAGCCAAGAACGUUGGGCAAGUUCCUUGAGCCCUUUCUGUGCUCCAAGAGCAAGGUAACCACCUAUUUCAUAGGGUUGCUGGAAGGAUUACCCAUAAAAGGCUUAGAACUGAGCCUGGCACCAAGCACUCAAUUAAGGUUCAAGAUCAUUACUAUGCCCUGCUUUGCUCUUCAAGAUUCAGCUUACCUCUUCUGGGUGACCUUUCCUGACCCCAGCCCUGCCCUGGGCCAGAGCCCCUUUGUUCGCCCUGCUCCCCGACUCCACACUCGUCAUGCUGCUUUCCCUGUUAGCCCACCGGCAGCACAGUCCUGGAACCGCCAGCCUCACAAUCACGUACAGUCAUUAAUGGUGCUGACUCCGGGGCCCGAGGUCAGCUGAGGGACCCUGGAGUCUGCAUUGCCAGCAGGCUCCUUGUGUGGUUCUCAGGAUGCCCAACUUUGAGAAACUCUGUUCUGAGCCAUUUUAGCACCAUGGUACUACAGGCAGUGCCUGGUCCGGGGCUCAGUGAUGAGGUGAGGUCAGGGGGCUGCCCCAGGCAGAGGCACAAUGGAGGACCCUCCAUUCUGUGCUAGGACAGAGACGUGGACCCACCUGGGCUUGACUCUGACACAGAACUAACUCACCAAACACACCAGCACCCCUAGUCCAAUACCUAGGGUCUCCCUGAGCCCUCGUUCUAUGCCUGGCCUCUGUGGAACCCACGAUGAUGACCGAGGGACUGCCAUCUCAUGCUGGGGUCUGAAAAGCUAUCAAGGCUUCCACAGGAGCUGCAGAGCAAGGAGACUCUGCUCUGAACUCAGAGUCCCUAAAAUAGCCAGCAGCCCACAAAACCAUGAUGGAAGGAAAAGAAAGGCCAACCAGAGAUACCAGCCCUUGUUUGGAGUUUGCGUUAGAAAGAAAACUAUGAGCUCAUACACCUUAAUAUCAAAAAAACAAGCAACCCAAUCAAAAAAUGGGCAGAAGACCUAAACAGACAUCUCUCCAAAGACAGACAGACAGAUGGCCAAAAAGCACAUGAAAAGAUGCUCAA
Molecule: non-coding RNA, 3331 nt
Organism: Vicugna pacos (alpaca)
Lineage: Eukaryota; Metazoa; Chordata; Mammalia; Artiodactyla; Camelidae
Source: RefSeq, a predicted model, not a curated record